RNAcentral lists this ribosomal RNA (422 nucleotides) under uncultured bacterium. Its description in RNAcentral is "bacterial SSU rRNA". It matches the Rfam family "Bacterial small subunit ribosomal RNA", at positions 355 to 774 of the family's 1533-position model. The record is from RNAcentral.
UGAGGAAUAUUGGUCAAUGGACGAGAGUCUGAACCAGCCAAAUCGCGUGAAGGAAGACUGCCCUACGGGUUGUAAACUUCUUUUGUACAGGAAUAAAAGACAUUACGUGUAAUGUAUUGCAUGUACUGUACGAAUAAGCAUCGGCUAACUCCGUGCCAGCAGCCGCGGUAAUACGGAGGAUGCGAGCGUUAUCCGGAUUUAUUGGGUUUAAAGGGUGCGCAGGCGGGAUUUUAAGUCAGCGGUGAAAGUUUCAGGCUCAACCUGAACACUGCCGUUGAAACUGGGAUUCUUGAGUAUGGAUGAAGUAGGCGGAAUUCGUUGUGUAGCGGUGACAUGCUGAGAUAUAACGAGGAACUCCGAUUGCGUAGGCAGCUUACUAAGCCAUAACUGACGCUCAAGCACGAAAGCGUGGGGAUCAAACA